This 628-nucleotide ribosomal RNA is filed under the name uncultured bacterium. RNAcentral's name for it is "bacterial SSU rRNA". It matches the Rfam family "Bacterial small subunit ribosomal RNA", at positions 338 to 957 of the family's 1533-position model. The record is from RNAcentral.
CCUACGGGAGGCAGCAGUGGGGAAUUUUGGACAAUGGGGGCAACCCUGAUCCAGCAAUGCCGCGUGAGUGAAGAAGGCCUUCGGGUUGUAAAGCUCUUUUGUCAGGGAAGAAACGGUGAGUUCUAAUACAACUUGCUAAUGACGGUACCUGAAGAAUAAGCACCGGCUAACUACGUGCCAGCAGCCGCGGUAAUACGUAGGGUGCAAGCGUUAAUCGGAAUUACUGGGCGUAAAGCGUGCGCAGGCGGUUAUAUAAGACAGAGGUGAAAUCCCCGGGCUCGAACCUGGGAACUGCCUUUGUGACUGUAUGGCUAGAGUGUGUCAGAGGGGGGUAGAAGUUCCACGUGUAGCAGUGAAAUGCGUAGAUAUGUGGAGGAAUACCGAUGGCGAAGGCAGCCCCCUGGGAUAACACUGACGCUCAUGCACGAAAGCGUGGGGAGCAAACAGGAUUAGAUACCCUGGUAGUCCACGCCCUAAACGAUGUCUACUAGUUGUCGGGACUUAAUUGUCUUGGUAACGCAGCUAACGCGUGAAGUAGACCGCCUGGGGAGGUACGGUCGCGAGAGUAAACGUUAAAGUAAGUAGUAGAGUGUAGAGACGCGACGACGACGACGACGGAGGGAGGAGG